UGCAGGAAUUCAAACCCUGACUAAGACAUCCACCCUACUCUUAGGCAACACCAUUCUUGGGCUGAGGUCCUCAAUGUGCAUAGAAAGGAGAAAGGUGGAUGAGCACCAGCAUGCCACAGCCAUGAAGGUGGCAUUCUUCUCAAGAUAGGCCAAAUUGGUUUUGCUCCUUAAAUAUUUGAUUCCUGGCUGAGAAAACGCCCAUCAGAUUGGACGAGACUUUUGAGAGGAGAGGCUGCAAGCUGGAUCUGAUUCAGAGCCGCCGGUUCCCAUACUGUGCCGAGGGAAAGGGGGACUGUCAACCUGUGGAGAGAAGCAGCCAGCAGCAGGAUGCUGGUUGGAUGCUGGGAGUCGGGGAGAGACAUGCCUAGAAACAGCCCCUGGAGUCUGAAGAGUGACUUUGAGUCUAAAGUGUAGGCACGUGGCUAUCGCCUGAAUGCCAGGCGUGUCGGGGUGAGCAGGACUCUCAUGACAAUAGGUAAAGGUGACACUCAAGGGAAGACGUAGAAGCCAUACAAAAUGGUGCCCUGGGGUCAUUUGGAAAGGAG
Molecule: long non-coding RNA, 545 nt
Filed under: Mus spicilegus (steppe mouse)
Lineage: Eukaryota; Metazoa; Chordata; Mammalia; Rodentia; Muridae
Description: lncRNA (ENSMSIG00000011190.1)
Source: RNAcentral